Molecule: ribosomal RNA, 659 nt
Filed under: Colletotrichum graminicola
Lineage: Eukaryota; Fungi; Ascomycota; Sordariomycetes; Glomerellales; Glomerellaceae
Description: eukaryotic LSU rRNA
Rfam family: 5.8S ribosomal RNA (bases 216-369)
Source: RNAcentral
CCGUAGGUGAACCUGCGGAGGGAUCAUUACUGAGUUACCGCUCUAUAACCCUUUGUGAACAUACCUAGCUGUUGCUUCGGCGGGUUAGGGGGUCCCCCCGGGGACGCCCUCCCGGCCGCGCACUCCUCCUCCGGGAGGGGUCGCGGCGCCCGCCGGAGGAUAACCAAACUCUGAUUUAACGACGUUUCUUCUGAGUGGCACAAGCAAAUAAUUAAAACUUUUAACAACGGAUCUCUUGGUUCUGGCAUCGAUGAAGAACGCAGCGAAAUGCGAUAAGUAAUGUGAAUUGCAGAAUUCAGUGAAUCAUCGAAUCUUUGAACGCACAUUGCGCCCGCCAGCAUUCUGGCGGGCAUGCCUGUUCGAGCGUCAUUUCAACCCUCAAGCUUCGCUUGGUGUUGGGGCACUACGGUUGACGUAGGCCCUCAAAAGUAGUGGCGGACCCUCCGGAGCCUCCUUGCGAGUAACUAACGUCCCGUUUCGGGAUCCGGAAGGAACCUUGCCGUAAAACCCCUAACUUUAACUGGUGGACCCCGAACAGGUAAAAUACGCUGAAUUUAGCUAUCAUAAGCGGAGGAAAUCUUAUGCUCGGAGUACAAGUCGAAUCCUGGGGGCGUUUAAACGCGGCGGGAAACCCGGGUACCACUUAUAGCUUGCGAAAA